Suricata suricatta (meerkat) is the source of this 2862-nucleotide long non-coding RNA. Lineage: Eukaryota; Metazoa; Chordata; Mammalia; Carnivora; Herpestidae. The record is from Ensembl.
GGUGUCUCCCCUCGCCUGCCCCUGCUUUCCCCGAGCCGCAGGCAGGGAGGCCGCGGGCAGAGCCGCACGUCUGCACCUGCAGAUCAAAAAAGUCAUUCACGGACUGCGGCUUUUAAAACAGCGGCCUGAUGUUUGUCAGGAGAGGCCUGUGGGAUAAUAAAAAAUUACCAUUUGGUCUUUGUCCCCAGGCACUGGCACCUGGGGCGGGUGAGGCUCUUCUGGCUGCUGCUGAGGUGCCUGGGGGCUGCUCCCAGCUCCAGGUGCCAGGGUUGGACCUUUAGGUCUCCAUCCCUCCCCCAACCUGCAGUGGAGAAGCAAGGUGAUGGGGAUUAACGCCCAGCCUCCAGUGACUAAUCAGUCCUGCUUCUGUAACGAAACCUCCGUAAAAGCCCCUGAGCCCCGGGGGCUCGAGGAGAAUGCAGAAAAGCAUGGGUCGGGCUCCAGAGAAAAUACACACAAAGAAGAGAAGCACAUUUGGAUCUCACCAGGCAGCUUUCGGGUAAGCAAGCGGCAGGAUGGGGCUGGGGUAUGUCCCCUUGGGGACGCAGCCUGCGUGGCCUGUACAUGUGGAUCACAGAGCCACGUUCCCUGGAAUCCAAAUGGGCCACGCACUCAGGCCCACGGGCAUCCUGCAUCGGAGCCUGGGCUCUGGGGAGGCCUCCCUUCAUGGCCCCAGGCUCCUUGUCCGCCCCUCUGGCCAUGGCGAGGGGCCAGGCCUCAGGGGUCCUGUCCAGCGCCACCGGAACCAAUGGGGGAGGAGGUGGCCCCUGGAAACACCAUGAUAGGCACCCAUCUUGGCUGGGGGAGAGGUGGGGUGUGCUCUGGGGAGGGACAGUGGCAUCUCUGGGUCAGGACCCCCUCCUGGAAUCUGAGGUCAUUCUCUGUGCCAAGGGCAGGGGCUCAGCUACGGAACACCCACGAGCCCCACAUGUGGACCCCGUGCAAGCUGGGGGGCACUCAUGGGGUGGGCUCUGGGCGAAGAUGUUGACGGGGGUGCAUCUCAUAUAUUUCUGAAGAGCGCAGGCUCUGCCCGGUGGGUCCCUGGCUUUGAGUCGGCCUGACGUCUCCUCGCUACAGGUGGCAGGUGUGCGUGUGUGUGUGUGCGAGUGUGUGCAUGUGUCGGGCGCAGGAUCGGCGCCCGGUGCCGUGGGGAGGGCGUGAUUCCAGCGUGUGGCUCUGUCAGCAAGGACUCCUCCAGGCCCCUUCUCCCCUCGUAGCCUGGAGACCGCCUGCGCCCUGCUUCCCACCAAACCCCGUUUAUGUAUGUCAUGUCUUCGUACUUCCACGCUCUGGCCGCCUGAGCCAUGGCCUGCGGCAGCCUGUCCCGGGGGCCCUGCUUGCCGUCCUUCCGUCUUCUGGGACUCGGGUGUUGAGGUCCUCCGCGCGUCCCCUCUGUCUUGGUGCCUCUGGUGGACGCGGGACUGAGAAUGUACUGGCUGCACGUGCUCGUGUGGGUGCUCACAUCUACCACCGCUCACAUCAGAGCUGGGAGUUCGCUGACGCCUCCGUUCCACCGCGGCCACAGGCUCAUUUGGGUUUUCCGCGUCGGAGCCUGUGGGUCACGUCUCCACAGCGCAGAUUGCCCUGUGCUGCUCAGAGCCUGCUGCCACCAUGCCUGUGUGGCUGCCAGUCCCUGGGGGGAGGGCCUCUGCCAACUCUCCGAGGGUUUAGGGUUGCUCAUUCUAGGAAGGGGCCGGGCGGGGGGCGUGUGUUCACGUCUAGGACAGCGGAGUGACAUGACAGUGGAGUUCGCCUGGGCAUCGGCUCCUCCUGCCGCCGCGUGACGCCCACCUGCCCGCGCACCGGUGAGACCCUCGGGCUGACGCAGCUACUCCUGCUGGCAGCCACUGCGGGCACUGUCCUCUGCUCUCUGGUCACCAGAUGCCCCCCCCCCCCCACUAUGGGCAGCAGACCCAUAUCUGUAGCGCCUCUGAACUUCUGGUGCCUCCUGUGCGCUUCCUUCCUGGAGCCUCCUGCGUGUCCUGGCGAACAGUGGAAAUCACAUUUGCACUGAACAAAGCAGAGGUGGUUUCUCACCACAGCAGGUGGGACCCAUUUCACAUCCUGUGACCGGCGGAGGAUGGAGAAGUCCCCGGCCAGGGGAGGGCUCGAGGACACUGGGCCCACUCUUGACUCAGGCAUUUCUGUUUGUUUUUAGGGUCUUCCUACUCUCCUGGGGCUGCCCUAACCAAGCCACAGGCUCAGGGCUCAAACGGCAGGCAUCCCUUUCAGGCUGGAGGCCGCAAGCCCUAAACUGAGGUGUCGCGGGGCCGUGCUGCUUCUGGGGGGGGCACUCCCUGUGCCUCCAGCCUCCAGUGAUGCCAGACAUCCUCGGUGUCCCUUGGUUGGUGGACAUGUCACCCCUCUCUGCAUCCAGGGGCACACGGUAUCUCCUGGUAAGGACAGUGUGCUGUUGGUGUGGGACUCACUGACUUCAGGUGACCGACCCCCUUUUACCGAUGGCGCCUGCAGUGGCCCUGUCUCCGGGUAAGGCCCCAUUCUGAGAUCACUAGGGUCAGGACUGAGGCAUAUCAUUUUGUGGGAUGGUUCAACCUCGUGCAGGUCGUGGCUGUGCCCUCUUCUGUGUUACAGUAUUGAAAAACCAUUUACAUUAAAAAAAAUUAACUUUUAUGGGGGGCCUGGGUGGCUCAAUUGGUUAAGUGUGCGACUUUGGGUCAGGUCAUGAUCUCACAGUCCGUAGGUUUAAACCCUGCAUCGGGCUCUGUACUGGCAGCUCAGAGCCUGGAGCCUGCUCCGGAUUCUGUGUUUCCCUCUUUCUCUGCUCCUCCCUCACUCAUGCUUUGUCUCUCUGUCUCUCAAAAAUAAAUAAAAGUUAAAAAAAAUAAAAAAAAACUUUUAGAG